This 480-nucleotide ribosomal RNA is filed under the name uncultured bacterium. Its description in RNAcentral is "partial 16S ribosomal RNA". It matches the Rfam family "Bacterial small subunit ribosomal RNA", at positions 28 to 507 of the family's 1533-position model. The record is from RNAcentral.
GAUGAACGCUAGCGGCAGGCCUAACACAUGCCAGUCGAGGGGUAGAAGGAGCUUGCUCCUUUGAGACCGGCGCACGGGUGCGUAACGCGUAUGCAAUCUACCUUGUACAUGGGAAUAGCCCAGCGAAAUUUGGAUUAAUGCCCCAUAGUAUAUAACCUUCGCAUGUUGGUUAUAUUAAAGUUCCAUGCGUACAAGAUGAGCAUGCGUCCCAUUAGUUAGUUGGUAAGGUAACGGCCUACCAAGACGAUGAUGGGUAGGGGUCCUGAGAGGGAGGUCCCCCACGCUGGUACGGAGACACGGACCAGACUCCUACGGGAGGCAGCAGUGAGGAAUAUUGGUCAAUGGUCGCAAGACUUAACCAGACAUGCCGCGUGCAGGAAGACGGUCCUAUGGAUUGUAAACUGCUUUUAUACAGGAAGAAACCCUCCAACGUGUGGGAGCUUGACGGUACUGUAGGAAUAAGGAUCGGCUAACUCCGUG